UAGGAAAAACGCACUGGAUGAAAGCACGCCACCUCCGCCGUGAAUCUCGCAGCCACGGCCGGUGGCCAGUCUCCCUCUCCGGCUUUCAUCCAGCGCCGCCGCCGCGCCCUCUCCUCCCCUUCCCACCAGCCCCAAAUCGGUGCCAUUCUGAGUCUCCUCCACCUCCAACCUCCUGCUGGCGGCCGUGUCGGAUUUGGAUCGGAGUCACUAGCGUGUGCGCGCAGGAGACAAAAUCUCACAUAGACUCAGAAGCCAACAAACAAGUUUUCCCCAUCACUUAAAUCCCUCUCCCAGACCAAAACAAUCGAGCGGAAGACGAUCUGGACGCGAUGGCGCUGGAGUGGGUUGUGCGCUACGCGGCGGGCGCUGACGCCAUCAUGCCGCUGCAGCCGACACCGCUGAGGAUGGAUGUGCUUCGGCACCGCUCUUCAUCAACCUCUAACUCGCUGUAUCCACUCACCCUGCUGGUACCAAAAAGCAAGAUCUGGGCGAAAGUUUACGAGGCGAACUGUAUCUCACGUCAACUCGCCCGCCGCUGGGUAGCCGCCGCCCUCGCCACUGGUCUGCCUCUCCAAGUCUCCGACCGGCUGUUCUACUCGGACAUCGCCGUACAGUUCCUCAUCCGCAAACUCUUGUGCUUCUCAACUAGAAAUCAAUCCCCGAGCUAUUAAUGCCCCCCGUAUUUGUCGCAGGAUAUGCCCAAGGUGAAGGACGGACACCAACGACGGAGAGGAGGAGCAAGAGGACGACGAUGCUGUUAAAGCUAACUAAAAUUUGAGGGGGCUUUGCAAUGUCGAGAAAAUAAUCAUGAGGGUCGGUUUUCAUGAGGUACUAUUCAGUUUUUUCUUCUUCUCAUACAUAGAUAGAACAAAAGUUAUAUGAGUUGAUUUUGUACUUCUUGCUGCAUGAGCAUCCACUUGAUUAAAAUAUUCAGAGUGUGAAGCUUUUAAAAUCUCAAAAAUAUAUAGGGAUAUAUUUGAUCGAUGAACAUAAGAAAUAAAACAGAACUGCAUGGUUUAUGUGUUUUAAUUGAAAGACUGUGUAGAUGGGGAUGGAAAGAAAUGAUUGCAAGCGGCAUGUGCCAUUGAAAGAGGUGGCGAGGUUCAAUUGCGUAGGCUGAGACAGUGACUUCAUGUGCAUGAGGAUCCUAGAAGUAUAAUUUAGCCAUGAUUUAUGUUGGUGCAUAAGAAUUACUAAUUUCUAAUGUAU
This is an RNA transcript of Triticum aestivum (bread wheat), 1209 nucleotides long. RefSeq lists it as uncharacterized. The record is from RefSeq and is a predicted model, not a curated record. The transcript is spliced from 3 exons. NCBI's taxonomy places the organism in Eukaryota, Viridiplantae, Streptophyta, Magnoliopsida, Poales, Poaceae.